UCUUGAUUGAAAUGAACAGGAAAGAACCCCAACCCCUUCCCUUCUUGUCAGUCUUUACUUGCAAAAUGGGUUGAAUCCAGCAGUCCGACGUAACAAUGUUAUUAAGUUCCACUCUGUGUCUACUCAUCAAAUGUACCGCAGUGUAAGAGGUGUCCCACAUUGAAAGAGUGAUGAGCCUUGUGGAAGCGAGGCGCCUAGCGACAAUAAAACUGCCCUAAUCUAAUGAGUAGGGAAAAUAAAGCGAGUGGUGAGUGCCGCUCGCCGCUCCCCGCUCUGGCUCUAUAUUGUGCGCAAAAAUUCGUAGAGGUGUAAUAGGCUGGCCGAUUGUAGACGCUGCUUACUUUGCAGAACUCGCCUAGGGGGGCCUAACUAUUUGACCCACCUCUGAAAUCCAGGCCAAGUUUAUUCUAGUGAUUUGAGCCAUAGGUACCUGGCAGGAGAUCAAGGCUUCUAAAACAUUUGCUAUCCUUGUUACCGGAUUAUGAGCAAAAGAAAACAAAAAAGGAUUUAUAGGACUAACUUCAAUUCAACCAAAGAAGCAAGGAGAUGCCUUAUUUUAACGGUGAAGCGUGUUUUCAGGCAUGGAUUGGGCAAAGUAGCUAUCAGAUAAAUAGUUUCUUCAAAUAAGUCAUAAGAAUAUUUUUUAUAUAAACAAAAGAGUUGCUUUUUUUUUUUAUUUGUUGUAUUCCUGGGCGAAAGUGGUCCUUCCACCUAUAACUGGCUUCGAAUCGACUAGGAAUUAAAAGCAUUAAUGCUAGUAGAAGAAGCCGACGGCCUUGUCUGCAACUGCGGAAUCAAAGGUCAGUCCUCUCCUCAAAUGUUGUUUGUUUUUUUUUUUUAAUCUGUGAUCAUCGUACGCUAUGGAUUUGAUGAUGAUGCCCUUUUCUCCCAUGAGACAUCAGCAAAUGGGGGUCUUUUACUUUUGCGUUCAAAAAUUUCAUCCGUCGAUUUGGAUUGUGGCUGUAAAGUGUAGCCCCCGGCAGUAAAGAUUAGCGGGUCCCAAAUAUAUGAGAAGAAUACACCGACGUCUAUUGCAAACCAA
Long non-coding RNA from Populus euphratica (Euphrates poplar), 1042 nucleotides. RefSeq lists it as uncharacterized. Lineage: Eukaryota; Viridiplantae; Streptophyta; Magnoliopsida; Malpighiales; Salicaceae. The transcript is spliced from 3 exons. The record is from RefSeq and is a predicted model, not a curated record.